ACACACAAUAAUCUUAAAGCAUAUGGAGAGGGAUGAUACAACAACACAUGUCGGUGAAUAAAAAAGAGAACAUAAUAACCCUAAACCACUGGGAACACAUCUCCCAGCAUAAAGAAAAGCCAUGAGAGAAUAAAAACAAAAACUUAGCAGAAAAAACACCAUACACCAAAUCUCCGAAUCUUAUAUUCAUAGACAGCACACAUGCUUAAACAAAUAAUCGAUGGCCACAUCGUUAAAAUUAAAAUAAAAACAUACACCGCAGAGAUAACAAAUUAAACCUAAGAUACCACAUUGAAAUGGAGAACAGUUAUCCAAGCAAGAGAGCAGAUGCACCAUUUGAUAAAAUGCUUUCAUAUCCAGGCAUGCAUUUUCCCAAGUUCGCUCGAGGUUUCAGUCAAACUUCAAAAGGUCUCCAAGUUCCACCGAGCUGGAAUGCAAAAUAUUAGGGUUCCACUUGGUGCAGGGACGGUGGGGAAAAUGGGACAGAGGGAUCGAUUUUAGUUGGAAUUAGGUUUGCCCGAUACAAUUGUAAACCCAUUAAAAA
RNAcentral lists this long non-coding RNA (544 nucleotides) under Elaeis guineensis (African oil palm). RNAcentral describes it as "long non-coding RNA (EGUI_LNC019279)". Lineage: Eukaryota; Viridiplantae; Streptophyta; Magnoliopsida; Arecales; Arecaceae. The record is from RNAcentral.